RNAcentral lists this ribosomal RNA (862 nucleotides) under Collariella bostrychodes. RNAcentral describes it as "eukaryotic LSU rRNA". It matches the Rfam family "Eukaryotic large subunit ribosomal RNA", at positions 50 to 930 of the family's 3401-position model. The record is from RNAcentral. Lineage: Eukaryota; Fungi; Ascomycota; Sordariomycetes; Sordariales; Chaetomiaceae.
GCGGAGGAAAAGAAACCAACCGGGAUUGCCUCAGUAACGCGAGUGAAGCGGCAAGAGCUCAAAUUUGAAAUCUGGCCCCUCCGGGGUCCGAGUUGUAAUUGCAGAGGAUGCUUCGGGUGCGGCCCCUGUCUAAGUGCCCUGGAACGGGCCGUCAGAGAGGGUGAGAAUCCCGUCUUGGGCAGGGUGCCCGUGCCCGUGUGAAGCUCCUUCGACGAGUCGAGUUGUUUGGGAAUGCAGCUCUAAAUGGGUGGUAAAUUUCAUCUAAAGCUAAAUACCGGCCGGAGACCGAUAGCGCACAAGUAGAGUGAUCGAAAGAUGAAAAGCACUUUGAAAAGAGAGUUAAACAGCACGUGAAAUUGUUGAAAGGGAAGCGCUUGCGACCAGACUCGGCCCCGGGGUUCAGCCAGCACUCGUGCUGGUGUACUUCCCCGGGGGCGGGCCAGCGUCGGUUUGGGCGGCCGGUCAAAGGCCCCAGGAAUGUGUCGCCCUCCGGGGCGUCUUAUAGCCUGGGGUGCAAUGCGGCCAGCCCGGACCGAGGAACGCGCUUCGGCACGGACGCUGGCGUAAUGGUCGCAAACGACCCGUCUUGAAACACGGACCAAGGAGUCUAACAUCUACGCGAGUGUUCGGGUGUCAAACCCGUACGCGCAGUGAAAGCGAACGGAGGUGGGAGCCCCGCAAGGGGCGCACCAUCGACCGAUCCUGAUGUCUUCGGAUGGAUUUGAGUAAGAGCGUAGCUGUGGGGACCCGAAAGAUGGUGAACUAUGCCUGAAUAGGGCGAAGCCAGAGGAAACUCUGGUGGAGGCUCGCAGCGGUUCUGACGUGCAAAUCGAUCGUCAAAUUUGGGUAUAGGGGCGAAAGA